Molecule: long non-coding RNA, 1617 nt
Organism: Gasterosteus aculeatus aculeatus (three-spined stickleback)
Lineage: Eukaryota; Metazoa; Chordata; Actinopteri; Perciformes; Gasterosteidae
Source: Ensembl
GGUGGAGGAGUAGCGUAGGGAGGGAAGAAGAAGAAGAGGAGGAGGUGGCGCUGACAUCAUCAUCCACCUCCUGGAGGUCUGUGACUGCGUUACCAGCACGUUGUCUGUUAAGCUUUUAGCUGUCUGGUAUCUGCGUUUCAAAGGGUUUCACAUUCAAACAAAAGCUGUCAGGGAAAAGAAAAUCUCAUUCAAGAAAUGCUGGUUCCACGUAAAGUGACCGUGAAUAAGAGAACCGAAUGGCAGGGACGAAGGAAGUGGAGCUCAAUACUGCAAGGUGUGCAGGAACUUACGCAGCUUUCCUGCAAAGAGAGGUCUCUCUGUGUGUGUGUGUGUGUGUGUGUGUGUGUGUGUGUGUGUGUGUGUGUGUGUGUGUGUGUGUGUGUGUGUGUGUGUGUGUGUGGCCCUAGGCUCCUCCCUCUAGAGAAAGAGACAGACAGGUGUGGACCAGAUUGAGUUCCACCUCAUUUCCUCUGCCCUUGCAGCUGGUCAAGGACACACAAACACACACACAGGCAUGUCCUGGGCACAUGGUUAUGUACUCAGGCACACACCCACACACACUUCAAAUGCAAGGCCAGUGACAUGCACACUGCACACACCUCCAAUGCAGACACGCUGCAUGAUGUAAAAGGCUCAAAUGCAACAUUAGUACAAACCGGCGUGUGUGUGUCAUGAAGCCUCCCAACACAUAAAACAGGACAGGAUUACAGGAAUGAAUACAACUUGAAAGAUUUGCAAAUUGUAUUACUCCAGCCCCAGUAUGAUGUCUUUUAAAGCCUUACCGCUGCAUAUUCAUGCUGUACCCCCCCCCCAGACACACACACACACACAUAUAUAUUGUUACAAUAUAGCUGUGUUUGGUCAUUCAUAUUUGACGUGACAGCCGCUCACAUUGUCCGUCCAUUUUUCAUGCUGGUAUGAAAUGUAUAAACAUCAGAAGAACAUUAGGAUUAGGAUUAGGCUGGGCUAACCCCGAAUAGUACCCACCAUAGGUGGUAUAUGAAUGGGUAGGACUGAUUUAGUAAGACCUGAUGGGCAGGGGGCACCCUGCACCGGGCUCAUGACCACCCCUCACAUAUUUAUACACAUGCACACUCACACACAGCGUUGUCUAUGGAAGCUGUACGUUCUACACAUAUGUCGAGGUCUGUCGUGUGAUCACAGAUGGAUCUGUGUGUGUGUGUGUGUGUCUUUGUCUUUCCUGGUGUCUACCCAGUGCAGGAAGUGUGGGGUCACAGUGUCUGGAGGGCCGCCAGCAGGCCUUCCUCCCCUUUAAAAGGCCAGAAACUUUGGGACUUAGAGACUCACCUUAGAGACACAGAGGCGGAGGCAGAGCCUGGUUUGUGUACAUUAUGGCGUUGUGUGCUCACUUGCUGGUAAGGGUGAUUGAGUGCUUGUCAUACUGUGCAAGAGUGUGUGUGUGUGUGUGAGAGAGUCUUUGUGUGUGUGGUCCUGUGGAGACUGCAUGAGCCACCAUGUGGGAAUCACGUGUGCAGCGGCAGAUAAAGAAGUCUUUGUGAGCAGAUGUAGAAGAUGCAGCUCAAGAUACACAAACACACGCACACUUCUGCUCUUUCACAUUAGGUUUCUCAGCUCGCUUUCACUCAAUCAUUGUUA